Molecule: ribosomal RNA, 506 nt
Filed under: uncultured bacterium
Lineage: Bacteria
Description: partial 16S ribosomal RNA
Rfam family: Bacterial small subunit ribosomal RNA
Source: RNAcentral
AGUGAACGCUGGCGGUAGGCCUAACACAUGCAAGUCGAACGGCAGCACAGGAGAGCUUGCUCUCUGGGUGGCGAGUGGCGGACGGGGGAGGAAUACAUCGGAAUCUACUUUUUCGUGGGGGAUAACGUAGGGAAACUUACGCUAAUACCGCAUACGACCUACGGGUGAAAGCAGGGGACCUUCGGGCCUUGCGCGAUUGAAUGAGCCGAUGUCGGAUUAGCUAGUUGGCGGGGUAAAGGCCCACCAAGGCGACGAUCCGUAGCUGGUCUGAGAGGAUGAUCAGCCACACUGGAACUGAGACACGGUCCAGACUCCUACAGGAGGCAGCAGUGGGGAAUAUUGGACAAUGGGCGCAAGCCUGAUCCAGCCAUACCGCGUGGGUGAAGAAGGCCUUCGGGUUGUAAAGCCCUUUUGUUGGGAAAGAAAUCCAGCUGGCUAAUACCCGGUUGGGAUGACGGUACCCAAAGAAUAAGCACCGGCUAACUUCGUGCCAGCCGCCGCGGUAA